GCCUACGGGAGGCAGCAGUGGGGAAUAUUGCACAAUGGGCGCAAGCCUGAUCCAGCAAUGCCGCGUGCAGGAUGAAGGCCUUCGGUUGUAACUGCUUUUGUACGGAACGAAAAGGU
Molecule: ribosomal RNA, 116 nt
Filed under: uncultured Pseudomonadota bacterium
Lineage: Bacteria; Pseudomonadati; Pseudomonadota
Description: uncultured proteobacterium partial 16S ribosomal RNA
Rfam family: Bacterial small subunit ribosomal RNA
Source: RNAcentral